RNAcentral lists this ribosomal RNA (491 nucleotides) under uncultured bacterium. Its description in RNAcentral is "partial 16S ribosomal RNA". It matches the Rfam family "Bacterial small subunit ribosomal RNA", at positions 29 to 506 of the family's 1533-position model. The record is from RNAcentral.
AGUGAACGCUGGCGGUAGGCCUAACACAUGCAAGUCGAACGGCAGCACAGUAAGAGCUUGCUCUUACGGGUGGCGAGUGGCGGACGGGUGAGGAAUACAUCGGAAUCUACUUUUUCGUGGGGGAUAACGUAGGGAAACUUACGCUAAUACCGCAUACGACCUACGGGUGAAAGCAGGGGAUCUUCGGACCUUGCGCGAUUGAAUGAGCCGAUGUCGGAUUAGCUAGUUGGCGGGGUAAAGGCCCACCAAGGCGACGAUCCGUAGCUGGUCUGAGAGGAUGAUCAGCCACACUGGAACUAGGACACGGUCCAGACUCCUAGGGGAGGCAGCAGUGGGGAAUAUUGGACAAGGGGCGCAAGCCUGAUCCAGCCAUACCGCGUGGGUGAAGAAGGCCUUCGGGUGGUAAAGCCCUUUUGUUGGGAAAGAAAAGCAGCAGGUUAAUACCCCGCUGUUCUGACGGUACCCAAAGAAUAAGCACCGGCUAACUUCGU